AUGUUAGAGGAUCACAAGAAAUUGUUGUACCCGAAUUGCGAAGCUGACAAAAAAAAGUUGGGCACCACACUUAAAUUGCUGCAAUGGAAGGCAGAGAAUGGUGUAUCUGACAAGGGAUUUGGAAAGUUGCUGGUAAUGAUAAAGAAUAUGCUUCCAAAGGACAACGAAUUGCCCGAGAGUACGUAUGAAGAAAAGAAGGCUGUCUGCACUCUAGGGUUAGAGGUGCAAAAGAUACAUGCAUGCCCUAAUGACUGCAUCCUCUACCGCGGUGAGUACGAGGAUUUGAACGCUUGCCCGGUAUGCGGUGCAUUGCGUUAUAAGAUCAGUCGCGAUGACCCUGGUGAUGUCAAGGGUGAGCGCCCCAGGAAGAAGAUUCCUGCCAAGGUGAUGUGA
RNAcentral lists this ribosomal RNA (393 nucleotides) under Triticum aestivum (bread wheat). RNAcentral describes it as "partial small subunit ribosomal RNA". The record is from RNAcentral. Lineage: Eukaryota; Viridiplantae; Streptophyta; Magnoliopsida; Poales; Poaceae.